AGUGAACGCUGGCGGUAGGCCUAACACAUGCAAGUCGAACGGCAGCACAGGAGAGCUUGCUCUCUGGGUGGCGAGUGUCGGACGGGUGAGGAAUACAUCGGAAUCUACUCUGUCGUGGGGGCUAACGUAGGGAAACUUACGCUAAUACCGCAUACGACCUACGUGUGAAAGCAGGGGACCUUCGUGCCUUGCGCGAUUGAAUGCGCCGUCGUAGGAUUAGUUAGUUGGAGGAGUAAAGGCCCGCCAAGGCGACGAUCCGUAGCUGGUCUGAGAGGAUGAUCAGCCACACUGGAACUGAGACACGGUCCAGACUCCUAAGGGAGGCAGCAGUGGGGAAUAUUGGACAAUGGGCGCAAGCCUGAUCCAGCCAUACCGCGUGGGUGAAGAAGGCCUUCGGGUUGUAAAGCCCUUUUGUUGGGAAAGAAAUCCAGCUGGCUAAUACCCGGUUGGGAUGACGGUACCCAAAGAAUAAGCACCGGCUAACUUCGUGCCAGCCGCCGCCGUAA
Molecule: ribosomal RNA, 506 nt
Filed under: uncultured bacterium
Lineage: Bacteria
Description: partial 16S ribosomal RNA
Rfam family: Bacterial small subunit ribosomal RNA
Source: RNAcentral